AUGUGGAAACUGCUGUAUCCUGAUAGCAAUGGUAGCAAUCAGUCACCAAUCAACAUUGCAACACGGCUCGUCGUUGUGGUGCAACCGUCCAAACCUCUCCGUUGGAACGGCUACGAUAAAGGACCACUAUCCACGACUAUAGCGAAUAACGAAAAUAACGUGAUAGUGAGCACAAUGUGGGGCAACUUGAAUCGACCAUAUAUCGAAGGUGGCUGUUUGACUAACGUUUACGACCUCUGCUCGAUGAUGUUUCAUUGGGGACAAUCGAACGACGAAGGCAGCGAACAUACGUUAGAUUACGUUCGAUAUCCCAUGGAAUUACAAGUGUGGCACAUAAAACGCGGCUUUAACUCACUUUUGGAGGCGAUCGCUGCUAAAGAAAGCGAUGGCAUACUGAUCAUCUCGUUCUUUUUUCAGAUUACGAACGCGGAUAAUCCCUAUUUGGAUCAUAUCGUGAGAAAUCUGCGACGAAUUGUUAAACCAGGGACGAAGGUGCACGUUCCACCGUUUCCGCUGCUAUGGAUAUUUCCACACUUCCAGACGGAUUAUUAUACUUACAACGGUUCUCUUACUCAGCCACCCUGCAGUGAAAUUGUUACGUGGAUCUUGCAACCUGAACCGAUCGCUAUAUCAUCGUCUCAGGUAAAACUAUCGAUUUCUAUAGUUUAUAACGAUUACAUAUACUCAAAUACCUCAAUACGUUUGCCACAUAUUAACUUUUACUACAGAUUGCAGAAUUUCGACAAAUUUGCUCACCGGAUGGUCCUAUACCGUUAAAUUGUAGGCCCGUACAACGAGUGAACGACCGUAGCGUGUACUUUUAUUCAUAGUAUUUGUUAACAAAUUACAAAAUUAAUUUUAUGUCUUAUGCGUUUUCGUGUAGAACUAUCAACACGCGUAUAUAGUCAUUUGUGUGCCCGUUAAAUCUGUAACGUUUUUCUACCAUUUAUGCCAGUAUAAACUGAUUCUUAAUAAAAUCAAGUACAAAGCGAUAUAUUCUCUGUUUUUGCUGUAACGUCAAUCGACAUCGCCUUCCAACCGUCUACUUCGUGCAGCUGCUUCUUCGUUUCUUCGAUACGAAUGAUCGUAUUACCGGCCGACGAAAAGAAUACGCGCGAAAUAUGUACAGCGCUCUUACAAAAAUCGUGUAGAUUCGAUACUAAUGAAGGAAUCGUCUAAUUUUCUUUAACGGGACAAUGAAAUUACUUUUGUUCGCUGUUGAAAAUAUGAAACAUCGGAUAAGUAUUUUACAGAGUAUUGUACAGAGAGCAAUAAUUUUAUUGUUUUCCUGCUAUAUUUUACGAACGCGCCAAAUACUUUCCAACAAAUUUUAUCAGAAAAUAAAGGUAUAACAAAGUUAAACUAGCUCGUCGCAAGUCGCAUCAGGUAUGUAUCGGUACAUAUAUUAUCUAUUUGGCACGAAUUAUUGUAAGAUGCAUGCAUCUGUCUUCUCUUUCUUCUUGCCUGAACCGUCAUUGCAGACACUAUACCGGAGAAUACAAUAGAUCUCUUGUUUUCGUUUUAUCUGGAUACACAUCCAGUUUUCUCAAACGGCUUGCGCUGGUAUUUACGUCGAUGAAUUUAUGAAUCGCAUCUAUCACACGCACACACAUCGAUAUCGGGCACAUUCUCACUUCGACGGUGUAUUUCCCCGGUAAAAAGAUCACAAGAUAUUUUGGAACGUAUUCGCUUGCCGAUGUAUAAGUCACGCGUGCACGUAGUGUGAAAAACGAGAUCUUGUCAAGUGAAUUUCGCAAGCAGAAAAGGGUGAUGAAGGAUUCUCUCGCCGCGUUUUCUCGCUCCGCUCUUAAUCGGCACGUUUACUUGGAACUUCUCGUCGCACAAGGAUAGACCUUGCAACAAAGCGGUUCGUCGUUGUACAUCGUGCUUGAAUAUUUGCAAAAGAUUCUGUCCACCGUUUCUUACGUUUUCUACACCUGACGAUAUACUUAGUCGGCCGAAGAGCUUGGAAAUUGAUCAGGGCCCUAUCCAAAUAUAUUUCGGAGAUCAUCGAUACAUGUUUUACACAUGCUGAUAUUAUAAUAGACAAUAAAAUAGCGUGUAUGUAACUGUAAUGAUCGUUGCAAAAUAUU
RNA transcript from Bombus pyrosoma, 2093 nucleotides. It is a transcript of the gene named carbonic anhydrase 1-like, with no coding region annotated. The record is from RefSeq and is a predicted model, not a curated record. The transcript is spliced from 4 exons. NCBI's taxonomy places the organism in Eukaryota, Metazoa, Arthropoda, Insecta, Hymenoptera, Apidae.